Long non-coding RNA from Lineus longissimus, 277 nucleotides. RefSeq lists it as uncharacterized. Lineage: Eukaryota; Metazoa; Nemertea; Pilidiophora; Heteronemertea; Lineidae. The record is from RefSeq and is a predicted model, not a curated record. The transcript is spliced from 3 exons.
CAAGUUCACCAGCAGUGCCAUCAGCUUCCAGGCUUGUUGUAACUCUUAUUCUUACAAGGCUGAUUCCAAGGAGAUUAACCCUAUGGAUUUCUCCAAGGGCAACAGUUCCCUGAUGCCCGUGAACCAACGUACAGCGCCAUCCGUCAGAGUUGAUGCAGCAGCAGGUUUCCCAGCAAACAAAACCUUUAUGUUGAUGAUGGUCGAUGCUGACGUCCCCACUGCGUCUGUUGGAACCGCUGACAAACCGCUGGUUCACUGGGUCGUUGUGAACAUCAAA